Nematolebias whitei (Rio pearlfish) is the source of this 158-nucleotide long non-coding RNA. RefSeq lists it as uncharacterized. The transcript has 3 exons. Lineage: Eukaryota; Metazoa; Chordata; Actinopteri; Cyprinodontiformes; Rivulidae. The record is from RefSeq and is a predicted model, not a curated record.
AGGACGCCAAGAAAGACGAGUCCGUCCGAAAGUCCUACAAGUACCUGGCCGCCCUGCACGAGAACUGUAAUCAGCUGAUCCGAACCAUCGAGGACACGGGAACGAUCCUCAGAGAGAUCCGAGACCUGGAGGAGCAGAUCGAGACAGAAAACGGGAAC